This 358-nucleotide ribosomal RNA is filed under the name Tetragnatha sp. RNAcentral describes it as "partial large subunit ribosomal RNA". Lineage: Eukaryota; Metazoa; Arthropoda; Arachnida; Araneae; Tetragnathidae. The record is from RNAcentral.
AAUCAUUAGCCUCUUAAUUAGAGGCUAGAAUGAAAGGUUUAACAUUUCCUUAACUUUCUUAAAAAUUUAUAUAAAACUUAUAUUAAAUAUAAAAAUAUAUUUAUCUAUAAACUAGACGACAAGACCCUUUCAAACUUUACUAUAGUUUAGCUGGGGUAGCUAAAUAAUAAUUAUCUUAUUAAUUUUUUUAAAAAUAGACCCAAUUUAAAUUGAUUAAAUGACCAAGUUACUGAAGGGAUAACAGCAUAAUAAAUUUUUACAGCUCUUAUUAAAAAACUAGUUUAUGACCUCGAUGUUGAAUUAUUUUACUUUUACACGCAAGAGUAUAAAAAGUAGGUCUGUUCGACCUUUAAAAUUU